ACUACGCCACUGACUUAAGGGUUCACAAUUCUAGUGGUUGCUCGGUCCUGCUUCUCUCUUCUCUCUCGCAGCUUUACUUCUCGACACUUCCUCAAGACGACACGGGGCGUUUGAUGGCACACAUCCGCGGGGCGCAGCGCCGCGGCAUCCGUACUUGGCGUGACGAGGCUGACGUCAUCGGCGCGUGCGCGCCGCGUCGGGACGGCACUGCAGAAGCAGGCGAGUUCGCGGAUGUAUCGAUUUUACGAUCGUGCCUCUUGGUGCCUCUCUCACCGUGUCAGUGCGACCGUCGUUUCCCUUAGUUUUUUAGUGGACGUGCAUGUUGUACAUGGAUAAAACCGUGAAUGGGAUUACCCGUUAGAUACGUCGCUCCGUACACCGCCCGCUGACUCGCAACUUCUCGUCAUCCUUCACCAUGACCAAGGAUAGAUUAGCAGCCCUCGUCGCGGCUCAGUCGGACGAUGACGAUGUGGCGGACGACGUGUCCGUUAACGUCGGGGCGCCAGAUGACUUUAUGACGGAAUUUUUCGCGGAGGUGGAGGAGAUCCGCGAAAUGAUAGAUAGGAUCCAGACAAACGUGGAAGAUGUGAAGAAAAAACACAGCGCCAUCCUCUCCGCGCCGCAGACCGAUGAGAAGGUGAAACUAGAACUCGAAGAUCUGAUGUCUGACAUCAAGAAAACCGCUAACAAAGUGAGGGCUAAAUUAAAGGUGAUAGAGCAAAACAUCGAGCAAGAGGAGCACACCAAUAAAUCGUCAGCAGAUCUGAGGAUACGCAAAACCCAGCAUUCGACGUUGUCUAGGAAGUUUGUCGAAGUGAUGACGGAGUACAAUCGAACACAAACCGAUUACAGGGAGCGGUGUAAGGGAAGAAUACAACGACAGCUCGAGAUCACGGGGAGAACAACCACCAAUGAAGAACUCGAGGAGAUGCUGGAACAAGGGAAUCCAGCCGUCUUCACGCAAGGGAUCAUCAUGGAGACGCAACAAGCAAAACAGACCCUUGCGGACAUCGAGGCGCGUCACGCUGACAUCAUCAAGCUCGAAAACUCCAUCAGAGAGUUGCACGACAUGUUCAUGGACAUGGCCAUGUUGGUAGAAAGUCAGGGCGAGAUGAUAGAUCGCAUAGAGUACCACGUGGAACACGCGGUGGACUACGUGCAGACAGCUACGCAGGACACCAAAAAAGCACUCAAGUAUCAAAGCAAAGCCCGACGGAAAUUGUUCCUGAUAUCGAUCUGUGUGACGAUAGCAGUCAUCAUUCUGAUAAUCAUUCUGGCAGUUAGUUUAAGUUAGCUUAAGCAUGCGCACGCGACGUUAGCGAAAAGAAAUGAACACAUUCGCAGAGUAAGUUUGACGGAAUAAAGGGAAAAAAUAGAACAAAUCGCGGGACGGGACAAGUAUUUUGAAUUGUCGAAAUAUUUGUCAUUCCUUUCUCGUCUCUCCUACAGAAAGCCAAAAUCGUAUAACAAAGAUCAACGCAGACCACGUCCAUCUUGAAUCCUCGCCGGGAAAUUCGGAUACGCAUCACGCGAUACAAUCUCGAGGUAUCAUCUAUGCAAGAUCGUUAAGUUUUUUUAUUAUAGAAUUUUACUAAAUUUUACGCGUGUUUUUACGUUUAUUAGUCGUAAAGAAUUUACUUCGCAUUCUCAUGAUUAUUCUAACUGCGGUAACCAAUGUGUUAUAUAUCGAAUGUGAUAUACGAUAAUCAAGAGCCAUCGGCAUCGUGCGGUUGUAAUUUCCCGGAAAAAAAAACGCCUCGAUGGACAUCGCGAACGUCAUAAUGCUAGAGUAGAAAUUAGAAACGGAGAUAAAACGUGCGUUAUGAAUCUGGAUUACGCGAAGCAAACUAUAACUUUAUUAGCAAAGACUUGCAAUCAAGUUCCUUUUAAUGCGCCUCAAUACAUUGGAAAACGCGUAAAAUCGCGAUAUUAAUUUUUUAUUACAUUCUUUCGAAAAAAAAAACUCUUACUGAUUGCAAGGAAAAAAUCGAUACAAGAGUUUGUAUAAAUUUGCAGAGCGACAGUUCUUGAAAUUAAAACAGAUAUAUACUUUGUAUAUAAUGCUAGUACAUAGUACUUGUACAAUUAAGUACAUUUUUACACAACAAUAUUUAUUUAAAAUGCGUGCACUGCAAGUUUGCGUGAAAUCGUAGAAAUGGAGUUAAGAAUCGUCGUGAAAAAUGAACGAGAUUGGUGUUUUUCUUUGGAAUGGAAUGGAAAUUGAUAUGCUAUCAUUAAUAGCUUUUCCUCGCAUUUAGGCGUAUCUUCGCACUGCCUUUUGUUAUUUUUUCCCCACUUUUAUUAUUCUUUCCAUUUCGUCGUUCUUAAUUCAAGCUCUGACGUGAGCAAGUAACAAUAACGGCGAUUACACAAUCGAAAAUCAUGCACGCAUGUAUACAAAAUCGAACACACGCGCCCUUUUCUAAAUCGUCUUCAGACAGAAGCUCGCCGUCGAUUUGAUACGAAGUGCAGCGACAGGAAACUGAACUAUUCGUGAUUAUCGUAUCUUUUUCUAUAUUUAUCACAAACGAAUAUGGAUCUUGAUUAUCGUGUCACUGGAGAAGAUAUUAUUAAAUAUCAGCAAUCCGUAAAACAGUUCAGAAUCACUAAAAUAGACUCAACGUAUUAUAUUUUAUAUCCAGAAUUCUCACUUUCGUAACCCCAUUUUUUUAAAUGAAUUGAAGAAAAUUAAAAUAUGAAGCGAAAAUGAUCAUAUUAAGUUUAAUUUAAAAAAAAAUCUUCGUUCGUUAAACUUUUCCAAUUUCAUAUUGGAUUUUCUCAAAGUCGAUUAAGAAAAUCUAAUUUAAUGUACGAAGCGCUUUGGGCGAACAUCUGGAGCGCAGGUACAACGAGCGCGAAAAUAUUUGACUUGGAAUUAUCAAUCUUCAUUCCUGUUGAAGAUUACACGGUAUUUGAUGUCGACGCAAAUUGUUUGUUGUCGCCGCAGAUUCGUUUAAUAUAUAUCAUUAAGUUAGCAAUACUCUUUAGAUCAGACCUAUCCAACGCUUUAUUAAGCGAACUAUAAACGCUUUCGCCUCUCGUUAAGUAAACCUUCGGUUUGCGAGUAAAAUGUUGGAUACGCCUGCUUCGAAUAAUAGACAAGACAAUUUGAAUCGGCGCGGGCGGCGCGAGUCGAGUUCGACGCUUCCGUAUUUGUCCCAGAACUGAUUGAUCGUUUCUGUGCGAAAUGUAGCAGAGACGCUAUCUUUUUCAUAUCGCAUACUGUAGUCCUCGUCUGAAUGCGAGAAUUUUGUGCUCGGUCGAGAUAUUAAUAAUCUGCGUGAUGGCGACGUGUUUCGCGAUACGUAUGUAUAUUUCAAUUAUGAAUAGAUACCGAUCACCUGAACUUUAAUCAUUACUGUCGUUGCAAUGCAGACCGCACGACACGGUAUUUAUAUGUACAAUGCCCGCAGAGCAUUGUACAUAUAAAUAAUCGUAAUUUGUAUAGAGCAGAUAAUAAUAAUAACGAGAUAACGAAAAAAAAAAAGAGUAACAAUAUUAAUCAUUAAUGCGCCUAUAGUGUGUAUGCAUGUAUGAGUACACACACACACACACACGUGUGUGUGUGCACGCGCGCAUGUGUAGUAAAACUUUUUUUCUCUUCGGAUGUAUUCAGCGUAAAAAUAAAAAAAAAAGAAACGGUUAUACAUAGAUAGGAGAACGGCGGUAUGGUAUGUCUUUUUCUCUGUCAUCUUUAUUAUAUUUGCUGCCUCGCGGAAAAGGAAACGAGAAGGAAACUGUUGGGUAGUAACAAAUCAUAGGUGCAAAUAAAAUGAGAUAUAAUGUAAUUAGCGCUGAUAAUAGAAUUGUGAAAAUAAUAGAAUUUACGUCGCGUUUUAUAAAAGAUAUAAAAAAAAAGAAAGGAACAUCAGUGCCGUUCGAUAGAGAAUUCACGGAUACCAGAUAUAAAUUUCCUCGGUGGAGAUCGCUGCUGAAGACAAGGAGAGAGAAAAGCGGAAUGAGAUAAAAUAGAAAAGAAUCUUGUUGAGAAGCUGCACGAAAACGAGAGAAAGUUCUUGGAAGAUAAUAGACAUUAACGACGUCGAAUAAUGAAGAAAUCUGCAGCUGAGAGGCAUCGUUUGCUAGUGGAGGCUUAUGGGCA
Cyphomyrmex costatus is the source of this 4102-nucleotide RNA transcript. It is a transcript of the gene named syntaxin 1A, with no coding region annotated. The transcript has 10 exons. The record is from RefSeq and is a predicted model, not a curated record. NCBI's taxonomy places the organism in Eukaryota, Metazoa, Arthropoda, Insecta, Hymenoptera, Formicidae.